CGGGGCUGGUGCAGUGUUGGACACACGGACACGCGGUAGUGUCUGGAGCUUACCUGGUCUACUUCUGGUUUGUGCUCGUGGGCAACUUCGCCGCUGGCUUCAUCCUAUCUGGCUUCAUGUUUUUGGGCUCAACCAUCAUCGCCGUAGUGGUGACGGUGUACUUCUGGAUAGUAGUGCGUAGCUUCGACCUCAAGCUGCAACGGACCAACUUGAGAACAGUGUCUGGCAGUUGCCGUCCACCCAGCACCAAGAGUUACGAACCGCCACCAAUGCGCCCGAGUACUUUGUCCGAUACCGACAGGCCGUUACCGGGAAGGAACACUUUAUUCGCCCCCACCCUAUACCAGCAAUCCCUAGACCGGACCCACCUCUGCCACUGCUCCAGGUUUCAGACUUUCCGCUACUUUGAGUCGAUCACCAUAUCACAUCCGACUUACGCAGCACAGCUGGAAUAAAUCAAGUUUGUGGCUGACAGAUGGUAAGCCGAUAAACGCCAUGUGCUCUAGCAUUCGAUAUUCGCGUGAGCAAUGAGGAUGAAAUAAAACUGUGGACUUGCAGAUUAAGGAGGAGAUGGGAAUAGUGGUGGUGACAGCUGGAUCGGCAGCUGUAGUAAAUGCAUCUGCCAACAGUACGUCUGAGAAGUCCCCAUACGUCUACAUCAAAAUAGUACAAUGUAUAUUGUACUUGCAUAUAAUAACUAUCUAUCCAAUAGGCCUGUCAUGCAUUACACAGAGAUCUAGGCGUCUCCCUGUCCUUCUCAAAACCUCAUGGAGCAUCUCACGGGUUAUGCUUCGCAAGAAUUCCUCGACAGUUUUGGGUGAUUUUUCAUUAGUCUUCCGCAGAUAUUGAGCCCCGUGGGACACGCAUAUACCCCAUAAUGAGAUGUGUGGUCUGGUAAAGUUUGAGCUUCGUGGUUGCCACCUCCGUAUGGCUGGAGAUGUUGCUGGGCCACGCUAAAUAAGCCACCUCGAAGUUGUUCUUCAAGGAAUCCAUACACCGGAACAGCGAAGUGUGCUGCUGAUGUAAACACAGAUAGCCAGUGAUAGCUUUGUCUUCGAGCUGAGGUGCUGACAUCAUUUUGGCCGUGCGGUUGUAGGCGCUACAGUCUGGAACCGAGCGACCGUUACGGUCGCAGGUUCGAAUCCUGCCUCGGGCAUGGGUUUGUGUGAUGUCCUUAGAUUAGUUAGGUUUAAUUAGUUCUAAGUUCUAGGCGACUGAUGACCUCAGACGUUAAGUCGCAUAGUGCUCAGCGCCAUUUGAACCUUUUUUUUUUGACAUCAUUUGGAAGGAUACCAACAAAUUAUUUCCCAAAUUCUACGAAUUAAAGAGUGAUUUGCGGGCUUGCUCAAUUGCCGUAGACAUCAAGCAUUACAGCGAGCAUGUGGCGCCAGAGAAAUAGAUACGACUGGCUGGCAGCUGACCACUACUAUUCCACCCAGGUAAACGUCAGUCACAGAGCUGCUUUAAUCGAAGCACAGUCAAGAUUUCCCAGGAAACUUUGAAACCUCUCUCCCAUAACACUCUCACAGGUCCAAGCAGGUAACGAGCUCAGCCACAGCACCGAAACUGUCGCUGCAACAAAUCGUGACACGUUUUGCAAUUUCCUGAAAUGUCAGUGCAUCGUGUCCUGUCGAAAUAUUCCGUUCAUGCUAGCGAUACGCUUUUUCAACAUCGGAGAGUUAUUAAACGAAAAGAUUCUACUUUCCAGAGAUCAAAUCUGAAUGCAUGUUCAAGAAAUCAUUGAGUGGGAAUGUUACAGUAAAUAGACGAGAUCAUUUGCGUACAAAUUGGGAACGAAUGCGUACUCUAAUCUUUUCCACUCUGUAUAGCGAUGGUACAGUUUUUCGUUAGUAUCUCGACUGAAAAGCAGAACAUCAGGGCUACGGAAUUCGCAAAGAAAUGCAUGACAGAAUAUUCUGGUGCGAUAUUUACCGACACGGAACUACAAUAGGACGUCUGAAGGGAUUGUAAAAAUUUCAUCUUGAAAUAGGACAGGAUCAAUUCGGCGAUUAUUACUUAGGGCAGGGGAACGCCGACCUGAAAUCCAAAUCGAUACACAUUUCAUGAAGUCUGCAGAAGAUUCCUAAUGUUAUCCUAUGAUUCACGUGAAUCCUUACAAACCCGUACUCCCUCAAAUACUAUCCUUAUUUAUGACAUUCCACCUUGAAGAUAACUUGGGAACAGAAGAUGUUACAACCUGGAAGGCAGAUGUGGAGUCCUUUUCCCUUCCUAUGUUGUCUAACGUACUGCAUUGCUAAGAAUAUUUAAUUUUAAAGAUACAUCAGAACAACAUAUAAUGUCUCGUUGAAGUGGAAUAUCUGUGCAAAAUUUUUCACUGAUUCAUAGAUAAGAAACUAUGACUGUAGUUUGUAGAUUUUAAAGCUAGUGAAUUUUAUAUGAAAUAAACUGGAAAAUAAUGUGCCAAUGUCA
This is a long non-coding RNA of Schistocerca cancellata (South American locust), 2430 nucleotides long. RefSeq lists it as uncharacterized. The record is from RefSeq and is a predicted model, not a curated record. NCBI's taxonomy places the organism in Eukaryota, Metazoa, Arthropoda, Insecta, Orthoptera, Acrididae. The transcript has 2 exons.